Molecule: ribosomal RNA, 546 nt
Filed under: Triticum aestivum (bread wheat)
Lineage: Eukaryota; Viridiplantae; Streptophyta; Magnoliopsida; Poales; Poaceae
Description: partial small subunit ribosomal RNA
Source: RNAcentral
AUGCUGCCAAUACUGAGAAUAAGGAGUCACACCAAGACAUGCCAGUUGGCAUACUACGAGCGGCUUGAGCCUUAUUUGGAGAGAGUUGGCCUCCUGCCAGUUGUUCUUCAGUUCAAGCAUGUACCACUGGUGGUGAACCAUGCUACUGACAAAGCUCUGUUGCAUCAUUGGCAGCCGGGGACACACUGUUUCCACCUUCCCAGUGGGGAGAUGACGAUCACCCUAGGGGACUUCAUGGUGAUCACUGGUCUUCCGCUCCACAGCGAGUCUCUCACUGGACGAGUGUGCAACAAGUUUGGGCAUGAGAGGGUUACCAGUCUCAUAAGUGGUUGCUCCCCCUCUCUUACUCUUAGGAAAAAGACAAACAACCGGACAUCCGCUGUCCCAUUCAAGUGGCUCUGUGAGAACAGGUCGGGAUGCCCGCAAGGUGCCGAAGAUGAGACGUGGGGCAGUAUGCGUGGGCGUACCUGUGGUAUCUCCCAUCUCAUGUACUUUUUGCACUCUGCUCCGAUGACAUUGCGUCGUGGAUGUAUCUUGACUUCCUGA